RNAcentral lists this ribosomal RNA (460 nucleotides) under uncultured bacterium. Its description in RNAcentral is "bacterial SSU rRNA". It matches the Rfam family "Bacterial small subunit ribosomal RNA", at positions 29 to 524 of the family's 1533-position model. The record is from RNAcentral.
AACGAACGCUGGCGGCAUGCCUAACACAUGCAAGUCGAACGGGAUCCUAGCUUGCUAGGUGAGAGUGGCGGACGGGUGAGUAACACGUGGGAAUCUGCCUUUUGGUUCGGGAUAACCGCGGGAAACUGCGGCUAAUACCGAAUGCCCUCGAGAGAGGAAAGAUUUAUCGCCAGAAGAGGAGCCCGCGUCCGAUUAGGUAGUUGGUGGGGUAAAGGCCUACCAAGCCGACGAUCGGUAGCUGGUCUGAGAGGAUGAUCAGCCACACUGGGACUGAGAUACGGCCCAGACUCCUACGGGAGGCAGCAGUGGGGAAUAUUGGACAAUGGGGGCAACCCUGAUCCAGCAAUGCCGCGUGAGUGAUGAAGGCCUUAGGGUUGUAAAGCUCUUUUGCCAGGGAAGAUGAUGACUGUACCUGGAGAAUAAAGCCCCCGGCUAACUUCGUGCCAGCAGCCGCGGUAAU